CGCCUCUUGCAAAAUUAACAAAUAAGAGGUCCCGCCUGCCCUGUGACCAGAGUGUUUAACGGCCGCGGUAUCCUAACCGUGCGAAGGUAGCGCAAUCACUUGCUCUUUAAAUGGGGGCCCGUAUGAAUGGCUUAACGAGGGCUUAACUGUCUCCUUUUUCUGGUCAGUGAAUUUGAUCUCCCCGUGCAGAAGCGGGAAUAACACCAUAAGACGAGAAGACCCUAUGGAGCUUUAGACACCAAGGCAGACCACAUUUAAGCUACACAUAUUGAGGAUUUGUUGGGCCAUUUGGCUACUGCCCUAAUGUCUUCGGUUGGGGUGACCACAAGGGAAAACAAAGCCCCUGUGCGGAACGAGGAUACUAUUCCUCCAAACCGAGAGUUUCCACUCUAAGAAUCAGAACUUUUGACCUAACUGAUCCGGCAACGCCGAUCAACGGACCAAGUUACCCUAGGGAUAACAGCGCAAUCCUCUUUUAGAGCUCAUAUCGACAAGAGGGUUUACGACCUCGAUGUUGGAUCAGGACAUCCUAAUGGCGCAGCCGCUAUUAAGGGUUCGUUUGUUCAACGAUUAAAGUCCU
This 580-nucleotide ribosomal RNA is filed under the name Sillago sp. 1 SS-2020. RNAcentral's name for it is "partial large subunit ribosomal RNA". It matches the Rfam family "Bacterial large subunit ribosomal RNA", at positions 1816 to 2597 of the family's 2925-position model. Lineage: Eukaryota; Metazoa; Chordata; Actinopteri; Sillaginidae. The record is from RNAcentral.